UCGGGCGCGCGCCCCUCUGUGGCCGGAGUGGCCUAGCCCAAAAUGGCGGCGUGGCCCUGAGGCGGCGCUCGGCUCCUUCGCGAGGGUACAAAACUCUUGUGUUUUAGCGCAGAUGUGGCGCGAGCUCGUCGAGGGAAGUAACAACAAAGAUUACUGAGGAGUUACCAUGGAGACUGAAACAGUCCAAGUCCAGCAAAAGGCAAACGUGUAGUCAAACCCCAGUAUAUGCGUAUACAUAAACAGGACCUAGUGGAUUAUUUCUAUUAAAUUAAAUUAUCAGGAGAUAUUAUAUGCUUAUUAUCCCAUGGCAGCUAGGGUUGGGAUCAGAUGAACUUUAAGGCCCACAAGUUUCUAUGAUCUACUGGCGAAAUGCUUUUAAUGACGCUAAAAGAUCAUUUAAAUUUACAGCAAAAUUAUACAGUCAGGCCCAAAAGUGACACCAGAUGGCGCCAGGCACCACAGGCAGAGCCAGCCUGAGAAAUACCUUGACUCCCAGGUGGUGAGGUCCCACUUGAUCUAAGAGGGAAUAAAGCUCCUCUGUGGCUGACUGACCUUCCACUCAAGCAUGGCUAUGUUGCAUUUUCUUAUACUGAGGUUAGAGGCCUCCAUGUGAAAAGAAUCCCACUUCAUAGGCUUGGUGCAAAUGGAACAGAAAAAACCACUACACAAAGUGUUGAGAGUUCAAGAAGAACAUUCUUCUAACUUGUCCUCCAUCUGAUUUGUUUAGCUUGUUUUCCCAAAUAAAUAGCAAAGAGAGUGUGUAUGUAUUUGUAUUUAUUGCACAACUUCAGAAACAAGUACAUAGACCUCUUAAACAUUUGGCUUCUAUAUGUAUUGGGACAGUUGGCACUUUGGUAAUGGAAAUUGGGUUCUGAUGAAGGGACAAGGAUGAUAGGUACAAUGUUAACUCAUCUCUUAUCAAACAACGGGAAUCUUCAUAGGCACAGGUUAGGACAAAUAUUUCAUCCAUGUGAAAAGCUUUCUUCAGAGGUAACACCAGAAAACUGAGGCUCAAGGCAAACAGUCUUCAUCCAUUCAGUCACUAACAUUCCUUCCCCUCUCCAGAAGUUCUGAGAGAAGGGAAAAUCCCAAAGAGAAGCAUUGGCAUUAUAUGUUCAACUCUAAAGUCAGCUCUUGUACAUGUGGAACGUUAAUAUGAAGCAUAGAAGUGGCCUGUUCAGAACCACUAGGAGUAUUUGCUGUGAUCCUGUGUAUGGAAGCAUCCCUUUUAGCUGUCAGAAAAGUGAUUGGGAAGCAGUACUUGUGCAGGCAGCUCCAUAAUGACACUAUGGGAUUAUAACAGGUCCUGCAUUCAGAUGGGCUCAUUGUCUAAGCUUUAUUUACAGACUGUCAGGCACUGAGUAUGUGAGAUAAUAAAUUUAAUAGUACAGUGACACAACAAGUAUUAACCAAAUUUAUCAUCUAUGCAAAUGCAAGUGUCUUACAGGAUCUAGGCAAUCUGAAAUGUCUGAAAGUUUGUGAUUCUAAAUGAGCUAUCUAUUUCACUUUACAAGCCUGAGCAUCUAGUAAAUGCUCAGAGCUAUAACCAAAUUGUGGUCUCAGUUGAUUUUUCCAGAUCUUUUGGUUGAUGUUAAUUUGGCUUGGGCUUUUUCCCCUUUUUCCUUUCACACUACAGAUGAUUAGCUCCUGUUUUCUAUAAUUUACUUGUCUCCUGAAUUUCCUGUUCUUUUCUACAUGAAAGGCUGCAUGCAGUAGGAGGUAGAAAUGAGAUGUUAACAGGACAGAGUGUUGGAAAUGUGGAGAUGUAUGCGUAUAGUUUAAUCUUUGGAUAUGAGACUGGCACUUGAGCAACAAAGGGAAAAAAGCCUCUUUUGGUUAUUGAGUGUGGGGAUUUUAGUUUGAGUGUGGGGAUUAGAUAAUGUUUUGAAAUGCACUCUGAGUGAGAAAAAUCUGAGGACGGGGGGUGACUGGUGCAGCAUGACGGGUUAUAUUCCUGCCUCUAGGAAAGUAGUAAGUGGGAGUCAAGGCAGUGCACUACUGAUGCCGAAGUAUGAAAAGUUUGUGAACACUAGAGGAACAGCACCUGACCCAAAGCAAGUCUUUCCCAACUGUGCUUCUGGAUUAUCACUCAGGAGCAUCUUUAGUUAACUUCAGUUUAGUCGUGGCAUGUCCAAAAGAACUCUUGUCUGUCCAAGGGAAGCUCAUUUUGGUUAGGAUUGGGGUUGUUUCCAAAAGCUUUUUUACAUCUUGUCAAUGAAGUUUGAGUUUCCUCUAUAUGUCACUGGCAAAUAUGAGGUGUGUCCUUCUGCAACAUGCUCACAUAUGCUGGAGAUACUAUCAGAGGGAUUUGGUUUGUUUGGGUUUUUUUCUUUAAUGCACUAAAGUUAGUAGAAUUUGGAAUACUGCUGGCAUGGGGCUUUGGAAAUGCUUUUCUGCAUCUAUUAUUUUUGCACUUGUAAGACUAUACAUUGUGGUAGCUUUUGAAAAAGAUGUAAAUUUCUGCCCUUCCCAGGGAAGAAAGCCAGUGUCUCCUGAUGGGACUGUACAAAAUCAGCAAGCACAAUGGGCUGUGAACUGUUGGUGAACUCUAAGGAAGCAUUUAAACAAAACAGGAAAAGGGUCCUCAAUCACUGGAGCCAUGAGCAUGAGAAGAAAGUGCAAGUGAUGGUGUGGCCCACACUGGACUUGUAUCUUUCCUGUUUUCUCAGUUUUAGCAGUUUAAAAGGUUUAACUGUAGCCCCCAACAACUCAUGGAAGUGGAGAACCACUGGAAUGAGGACAUGUUCUUUAGGUCACCUUGAACGUGUUCUCAACAGCAGAACCAAAGACAGAUGUAAGCCAGCAAAAUAUGGCACAUAUAGGAUUCAUAUAUGUCCAGGUCACUUUAUAUGAAUUUAUAUGUAUGAGUUAUGUGUCCAUGUCAGUAUGAUUUACAUUCAUCAUAUGAAAAAUAGCUACACUGUUUUAAAAAAAUAAUUAAUUACAGCAAUGCAAAAUAUGUGGUAAGAUGGCUCACUUUGCUAUAAACAUACUCCCAGAAUUGUUGUAGGUACACCUGAUUAAAAAAUCACAAACAGCUAUAAGCAGAAACUCUUUUAGCAUGAAGCUGUAGGUGGAGAAAACCUCACUGCAACUUAAUCCUUAUCCAAGUCUCAAUCCAAACCCUAAUAAACUGUGAGGUCACCCAAAUUCUUCAGAGAACAAUCUUUCAGGAUUUCCUUACACAUAAAGCUCUUUACACAUAAAGUUGGAAUAAUUUUAACUACGCUAAAGCAAUCACCUAAGUAUAUAUAUCUCCAUGUGUCUGUAUUGAAAGAGUUUGCAUGAGCAUUUUCUCCAUGAAGAUGAUUGCCAUAGUAAAAGGCAAGGGAGCUGUGUCUCUGUCCACAGCUGAGUUUUGACUAGCAGAAGUUAUUCAGUUUGAAAAAAAUCUGUUCCUACUGACAUAAUUAUACUGGCACAGGAUUUUGUCAUCUUUUGUCUUGGCCACAUAGAUUUUUUUGUGCCUUUAAAUUCUUUAUUCAUUGAUGAAAUGCUUUCCUCGGCUUAUGAGCUUAUACAGAGCCUGUCCCCAACAUGCUACAUGACAAGCAAGCAAACUUGGCAGCCAGACCUGUUCUUACUUUCCUGCAGCAUACACAUUCAUCAGAGCUUGGGAUAGAAAACUUUUUGAGAUGUAUAUAAAGUAUGAUGUACCUUUCUUGCAGGUGGUUUUCUUGCAGUUUCAAAAAACCCUAUAGUUAUCCUGUUUUCAUGGCUGGUACAGAAGAGCUUGCUGUGCUCUCAGGGUGACAGGCAGCCAUCUAAGCAGCACUCCAUUGGGGCUGAUGCAAGUUCAGGAAUCCUUGAGUGGCCGUGCACGGGCUGGUCAUCUGCCAGGCAUUGUUACCCUCUUUUGGAAGGGUUUUGAGCUCUUCUAGCUGAAUUCUUUCUGAUCUCUAAAAGAUCAGAAAUACCAAUAAGCCUCAGGCAGUGCUUAUUAAUCCUUCUUUUCUUUAUAAAAUCAAAAUACUGAAGCAUAAACUGCAUAGGUUGUCAGGUGAGUGAGGGAGUAGAGGUGAACCAUGCCUUCCCCAUCCCUGCUGCUGCUGUGAAUUGGGAUUGCCACCAAGAGAGGCAGUUUGAUGCCUUCUCUUCCUGGCUUCUUUUUUCCAACUUCUUCACUGUCUUGUGCCACUGUGAAAAGGUAGGAAAAAGAAUGGUGAUCCAGACUAAGGAAUUGGUUUAGGCUAAGACUUAAAUACUGUUGUUAACUUCCUGAGUUUGUUUAAGUCCAUCUUAGUUCCUGGCUUCCUUAUUCUGUUC
Non-coding RNA from Cyanistes caeruleus (blue tit), 4266 nucleotides. NCBI's taxonomy places the organism in Eukaryota, Metazoa, Chordata, Aves, Passeriformes, Paridae. The record is from RefSeq and is a predicted model, not a curated record.